Molecule: long non-coding RNA, 1133 nt
Filed under: Fragaria vesca (wild strawberry)
Lineage: Eukaryota; Viridiplantae; Streptophyta; Magnoliopsida; Rosales; Rosaceae
Description: long non-coding RNA (FVES_LNC004776)
Source: RNAcentral
UUUUUUUUUUCAUUAAAUAUAAAAUGAUGAACAUUUCUUGAGGCCCAUAGAAUUGGGGGCUCUAGACCUACGCUUUUUGGGCCUAUGCUAAGGGCCGGUCCUGAUUCUCCCCCUUUGCCUUGCACCACCGAUCGAGACAGCUCACCGCCGACAAGACUGAAUUGGUCGCUUGAUCGACGGCCAAACCCUUGUCGAAGCAACCCCACUGCCGACCACGAUAAUUUUUUUAUAUUUUUAUGUUAGUUAUGAUCUAGACCAACCCCAUAUUUUGCGAGAAAUUUUAAAUACACAUCCCUAAUCUCUUAAUACACACCUCUAUUAUUUUAUGUUUCUAUUGAGAUGUAAUAUGUAAGUUAAAUGACCAAAACAUACAUCUAUUAUUAAAAAAAAUAAAUUCGCGCUAGAAAUAUUUUUUCCAACGUCUUCUACCCUAAAAUCGUCAAAAACACAUAUUCUCCCCUAACCCAAUUCUUCUCCACAAUUCAUUUGGGUUGUCUUUUUUUUUUUUUUGUUUAUCCGUAUCAGCUUUAGAUUUGAUCUUACAGAUCAUAUUGUCAAGUACUGCAUCUUUAUCAACUUUAGUUUGAUCUUGGAGAUUAUAUUGUCAAGUACUGCAUCUUUAUCAUAACAUGUUUUAUCGAAUAACUAGCUAUCUAUGUUAAUAGCUACUGUACUUCUACAGUUGUACUAGCUAGCUUGUGAAUUUUGAAAACUUAUAUUGGUGAUUCGGAGUCGGAAUAUAACAAUAAUCAUUUGAUUAUAAAUUGAACGAUGAUAACCAAAAAUUUCUAGCAAAAAUUAGACGAAAUAAUAUGUAAAAAGAGGUACCAAAUAGUAAAUGUAUAUUAAUUAUAUUAAAUAACGGAAUAUUUUAUAAAUUAAGGACAUUUUAGGCAGUUUGAGAUGUGUAUUAAGUAUAAUACUGAAAUGAAAAACUUGAUAGGUGAUGUAUUAAUUAAAGAAUGUGUAUUAAGAUAUUAGGGGUGUGUAUUUAAAAUUUCUCAUAUUUUACAUAUGCAAGUUUGUCUUCACUGCUGCGACUUGUCAACUUAACAGCAAAAUACAACUUCACCACUUCUCGUCCAAACGACAAGUAGUUUCUACAGAAGCUCUCAUCCAGUCCAGUCAUUAGU